UUGAGCAACGAAACCGAGACUAGUGAACCAUUGUUUAGAAGAGAAACAGCGAGCCAAGGGCCACUACUGCGGCGAUCACCGGACGGGAGACCAAGGCUUCAGCGCUGCUCUCCGGAGCCGAGUCCGGCGACGUCGGACUUGGCGCAGACGCGGGCACUGCAGUAGACGGCGGUGGAAUCACCGGAGCGAUUGAUGGUGUGAUCGUUGGUGCCGGUGCUGGAGAUGAAAUCAUCGGAGCGGGGGCAGGAGAAGGAGAAGGGAUCAUUGGAGAUCCGGCGGGCGAUGAAUGAGAGAAGGAAGUACCGACGAUCAUGGAGAUCAGCAGAGCGACGAUGAUCCGAUUUGCCAUUGUUGCUGUGUUUUUGGGUAAAGAGGUCCUUGGGUUCAAUCAGUUUUCACAUUCAAUUCCCACACUUUGGACUUCUUGGAUUCCAUCCCUUACCCCUCAACACUGAAUCCUCUGGGAUCUAAUCUCCCGUGCAAUCUUGUGGAAUAUCUGGAUUGAACGAAACUCUCCUGAUUGUCAGCAGCCAGCUAUUACUGAAGCUUUUCAGAAAAUUAAACGUUCCCUUAAUUUCUUUAGCGCUAGAACCUCAAAUCUCGCGGGAGAGUCAGACCCUGAUCAUGUGCAGGAGUAGUUGCUCCUUUUGAUGGUUUGGGCAGGUCUGAGGGACCAGACGGUGUCUUUCGCCUUCCCAGCUUCUUUUCUUCUUGUAUUUUAUUUUCCUGUCAUUCUUAGUUAUUCUCCUCACUUAUGGUGAGAGCUUUUAUCUUAU
Long non-coding RNA from Dioscorea cayenensis subsp. rotundata (Guinea yam), 776 nucleotides. RefSeq lists it as uncharacterized. The transcript is spliced from 3 exons. NCBI's taxonomy places the organism in Eukaryota, Viridiplantae, Streptophyta, Magnoliopsida, Dioscoreales, Dioscoreaceae. The record is from RefSeq and is a predicted model, not a curated record.